This 484-nucleotide ribosomal RNA is filed under the name uncultured bacterium. RNAcentral describes it as "partial 16S ribosomal RNA". It matches the Rfam family "Bacterial small subunit ribosomal RNA", at positions 30 to 507 of the family's 1533-position model. The record is from RNAcentral.
AUUGAACGCUGGCGGCAGGCCUAACACAUGCAAGUCGAGCGGAUGAAGGGAGCUUGCUUCUGGAUUCAGAGGCGGAAGGGGGAGUAAUGCCUAGGAAUCUGCCUCGUUGUGGGGGAUAAUGUCUGGAAACGGGCGCUAAUACUGCAUACGUCCUGCGGGAGAAGGAGGGGGAUGUUCGGACCUCACGCUAUCAGAUGAGCCUAGGUCGGAUUGGUUAGUUGGUGGGGUGAAGGCCUACCAAGGCGGCGAUUCGUAACUGGCCGGAGAGGAUGGGCAGUCGCACUGGAACUGAGACCCGGUCCAGACUCCUACGGGAGGCAGCCGUGGGGAAUAUUGGACAAUGGGCGGAAGCCUUAUCCAACCGUGCCGCGUGUGUGAAGAAGAUCUUCGGAUUGUAAAGCACUUUAAGUUGGGAGGAAGGGCAUUAAGUUAAUACCUUGCUGUUUUGACGUUACCAGCAUAAUAAGCACCGGCUAACUUCGUG